CUCCAUAGCGUAUAUUAAAGUUGUUGCAGUUAAAAAGCUCGUAGUUGAAUUUUGGAUUCUUCCCAUCGGUCCAUCUUUUAGAUGAGUACUGGUUGUGUGGGGUCUAUCCGCCUGGUGAUACGUAAUGUCCUUUAUUGGGUGUUGCGGGUAGUCAGGACCUUUACCUUGAAAAAAUUAGAGUGUUUAAAGCAGGCUUAUGCCGGAAUACAUUAGCAUGGAAUAAUAGAAUAGGACGAAGUUGUUUUAUUUUGUUGGUUUCUAGGACAACCGUAAUGAUUAAUAGGGAUAGUUGGGGGCAUUAGUAUUCAAUUGUCAGAGGUGAAAUUCUUGGAUUUAUUGAAGACUAACUACUGCGAAAGCAUUUGCCCAGGAUGUUUUCAUCCAUCAAGACCGAACGUUUGGGGAAGGGGGGACGGACGGAGAAAAACCCAAAAUUUAACUAACAACUUUUUA
This 453-nucleotide ribosomal RNA is filed under the name uncultured Archaeospora. RNAcentral's name for it is "SSU rRNA". It matches the Rfam family "Eukaryotic small subunit ribosomal RNA", at positions 589 to 1043 of the family's 1831-position model. The record is from RNAcentral. Lineage: Eukaryota; Fungi; Glomeromycota; Glomeromycetes; Archaeosporales; Archaeosporaceae.